This 277-nucleotide ribosomal RNA is filed under the name uncultured prokaryote. RNAcentral's name for it is "partial 16S ribosomal RNA". It matches the Rfam family "Bacterial small subunit ribosomal RNA", at positions 524 to 800 of the family's 1533-position model. The record is from RNAcentral.
UACGGAGGAUCCGAGCGUUAUCCGGAUUUAUUGGGUUUAAAGGGUGCACAGGCGGGAAAUUAAGUCGGCGGUGAAAUUUUGCGGCUCAACCGUAAAAGUGCCUUCGAUACUGGUUUUCUUGAGUGUGGAUGAAGUAGGCGGAAUUUGUGGUGUAGCGGUGAAAUGCAUAGAUAUCACGAGGAACUCCGAUUGCGCAGGCAGCUUACUAAACUACUACUGACGCUCAGGCACGAAGGCGUGGGGAUCAAACAGGAUUAGAUACCCGGGUAGUCCCUGA